Molecule: ribosomal RNA, 253 nt
Filed under: uncultured bacterium
Lineage: Bacteria
Description: partial 16S ribosomal RNA
Rfam family: Bacterial small subunit ribosomal RNA
Source: RNAcentral
UACGGAGGGUGCAAGCGUUAUCCGGAUUCACUGGGUUUAAAGGGUGCGUAGGUGGGUUGGUAAGUCAGUGGUGAAAUCUCCGAGCUUAACUUGGGAACUGCCAUUGAUACUAUCAGUCUUGAAUAUUGUGGAGGUCAGCGGAAUAUGUCAUGUAGCGGUGAAAUGCUUAGAUAUGACAUAGAACACCGAUAGCGAAGGCAGCCUGCUACACAAUUAUUGACACUGAGGCUCGAAAGCGUGGGGAUCAAACAGG